RNAcentral lists this ribosomal RNA (460 nucleotides) under uncultured bacterium. RNAcentral's name for it is "partial 16S ribosomal RNA". It matches the Rfam family "Bacterial small subunit ribosomal RNA", at positions 338 to 795 of the family's 1533-position model. The record is from RNAcentral.
CCUACGGGUGGCAGCAGUGAGGAAUAUUGGUCAAUGGGCGUAAGCCUGAACCAGCCAAGUCGCGUGAGGGAUGAAGGUUCUAUGGAUCGUAAACCUCUUUUAUAAGGGAAUAAAGUGCGGGACGUGUCCCGGUUUGUAUGUACCUUAUGAAUAAGGAUCGGCUAACUCCGUGCCAGCAGCCGCGGUACUACGGAGGAUCCGAGCGUUAUCCGGAUUUAUUGGGUUUAAAGGGUACGUAGGCGGUAUGUCAAGUCAGUGGGGAAAGCCCCGCGCUCAACUUGGGAACUGCCUUUGAUACUGGCAAACUGGAGUGUGUGAGAGGAUAGUGGAAUUCCAGGUGUAGGAGUGAAAUCCGUAGAUAUCUGGAGGAACAUCAGUGGCGAAGGCGACUAUCUGGCACAUAACUGACGCUGAGGAGCGAAAGCGUGGGUAGCAAACAGGAUUAGAUACCCCUGUAGUC